Molecule: small RNA, 305 nt
Filed under: Histoplasma capsulatum
Lineage: Eukaryota; Fungi; Ascomycota; Eurotiomycetes; Onygenales; Ajellomycetaceae
Also listed under: 1 other name
Description: hypothetical RNA
Source: RNAcentral
UACAUACACAGGGCUUCCAAGGCUUCCAGGGCUAGGAAACAGAACGAAAUGCCACCCACAUCCCGAUUCCCGAGCCCAAAGCCGAACCAAGCCGAGCCGAGUGGGGAGGGAUGCUGCUCAACCCUCAACCUGUGCUUUGGAAAUAGUAGUAACUCGUAGUUAGUUGUAUUUUCUUUUCAUUUUUUUUUUUCCAAAUGUAGUGUGAUGAGGGAAACUUUAUUCAGUUGGGAGAGAGAAAGAGAGUUGCUCCGGAGAAUGUCAAUAAAUCAAAUCUUAAACUUUCUCUCAACUUUAAAAAAAAGCCG